Molecule: ribosomal RNA, 1161 nt
Filed under: uncultured fungus
Lineage: Eukaryota; Fungi
Description: eukaryotic LSU rRNA
Rfam family: Eukaryotic large subunit ribosomal RNA (bases 539-1161)
Source: RNAcentral
GAUCAUUAAUAAUUGUGAAUCGUUGCCUUUGGUGCUGGCCCCGGCAUGUGCACACUGGUGACUUUCAUCCAAUACCCUUGUGAACCCUUUGCCUCUUGCUGGCUUUGGCUGGCAGAGGAUUUUAUACACAACUCGAAUGUAAUGAAACCUAUUAUUGUACGCAAGCACUAAUGUACAACUUUCAACAACGGAUCUCUUGGCUCUCGCAUCGAUGAAGAACGCAGCGAAAUGCGAUAAGUAAUGUGAAUUGCAGAAUUCAGUGAAUCAUCGAAUCUUUGAACGCACCUUGCACCUUUUGGUAUUCCGAAGGGUAUGCUCGUUUGAGUGUCAUUGUACUCUCACACUCUUCGAUCCUUUGGAUUUGGGGAGUGGUGGACUUGGGUGUUGCCGCUUUACUGUGGCUCAUCUCAAAUGCAGUAGUGCAACUCUUAGUUGGACAUAGUACGGCGUGAUAAGUAUCUUCGCCGGCACCUCGCAUUGAGGGUGGCUAAUUGAGAGCUCUGUGCUUCAAACCGUCUUCAGACAAUCACUGACAACUUGGCCUCAAAUCGAGUAGGACUACCCGCUGAACUUAAGCAUAUCAAUAAGCGGAGGAAAARAAACUAACAAGGAUUCCCCUAGUAACUGCGAGUGAAGAGGGRAAAGCUCAAAUUUAAAAUCUGGCAGCCUUUGGUUGUCCGAGUUGUAAACUAGAGAAGCGACAUCGGCGCUGGACCGUGUACAAGUCUCCUGGAAUGGAGCGUCAUAGAGGGUGAGAAUCCCGUCUUUGACACGGACUACCAGGGCUUUGUGAUGCGCUCUCAAAGAGUCGAGUUGUUUGGGAAUGCAGCUCAAAAUGGGUGGUAAAUUCCAUCUAAAGCUAAAUAUUGGCGAGAGACCGAUAGCGAACAAGUACCGUGAGGGAAAGAUGAAAAGAACUUUGGAAAGAGAGUUAAACAGUACGUGAAAUUGCUGAAAGGGAAACGCUUGAAGUCAGUCGCGUUGGCCGAGAAUCCGCCUUGCUUUUGCAUGGCUUACUUCGCGGUUCAACGGGUCAGCAUCAAUUUUGACCAUUGGAAAAAGAUGGGGGGAAUGUGGCAUCUUCGGAUGUGUUAUAGCCUCUUGUUGCAUGCAGUGGUUGGGAUUGAGGAACUCAGCACGCCGCAAGGCCGGGAGCAAUCC